This 245-nucleotide ribosomal RNA is filed under the name uncultured bacterium. RNAcentral's name for it is "partial 16S ribosomal RNA". It matches the Rfam family "Bacterial small subunit ribosomal RNA", at positions 524 to 766 of the family's 1533-position model. The record is from RNAcentral.
GACGGAGGAUGCAAGUGUUAUCCGGAAUCACUGGGCGUAAAGCGUCUGUAGGUGGUUUAAUAAGUCAACUGUUAAAUCUUGAGGCUCAACCUUCAAAAUCGCAGUCGAAACUAUUAGGCUAGAGUAUAGUAGGGGUAAAGGGAAUUUCCAGUGGAGCGGUGAAAUGCGUAGAGAUUGGAAAGAACACCGAUGGCGAAGGCACUUUACUGGGCUAUUACUAACACUCAGAGACGGAAAGCUAGGGU